Long non-coding RNA from Stegodyphus dumicola, 385 nucleotides. The record is from RefSeq and is a predicted model, not a curated record. Lineage: Eukaryota; Metazoa; Arthropoda; Arachnida; Araneae; Eresidae.
AUUGGCCUCUUGCUGAACAAUGCUGCUGUGGGAAGCGCUAUCGCUGUUGAAUUAACAGCCCUCAAGAAUCAGCGAGGUGAUAGCGGCUCUGGUACUUCUCGUAUCUUGAUGGCACCCGUUAGACAUACACUAACGGAUGUUGUUCAGUCUAAUCGUAGACCGGUUGUCAUUGGAGGCUCUGUGCUGGAUAUUCACGUGAAGGCCUUGGAAGACAUUCAAGUAAGAAAUUUCUUAGGAUUUUCAGCAUUGUAUGAGAGUGAACACGCUGAAAUUUGGUACAUCUAGGUAUCCACAGAUAAAGUAAUUCAAUGCGGAAAAAUUAUUUGUAAAUGUUUCGUAGCAGUUGUUCACCUUUUAAAUAAAUUAUUUAGAUUACUGGAGCACA